UACAACGAGUCGCAAGACCGCGAGGUUUAGCAAAUCUCUUAAAGCCGUUCUCAGUUCGGAUUGUAGGCUGCAACUCGCCUACAUGAAGUCGGAAUCGCUAGUAAUCGCGGANCAGCAUGCCGCGGUGAAUACGUUCCCGGGCCUUGUACACACCGCCCGUCACACCAUGAGAGUUUGUAACACCCAAAGCCGGUGGGGUAACCUUUUGGAGCCAGCCGUCUAAGGUGGGACAGAUGAUUAGGGUGAAGUCGUAACAAGGUAAC
This 263-nucleotide ribosomal RNA is filed under the name uncultured bacterium. RNAcentral's name for it is "partial 16S ribosomal RNA". It matches the Rfam family "Bacterial small subunit ribosomal RNA", at positions 1238 to 1500 of the family's 1533-position model. The record is from RNAcentral.